Molecule: long non-coding RNA, 974 nt
Organism: Haplochromis burtoni (Burton's mouthbrooder)
Lineage: Eukaryota; Metazoa; Chordata; Actinopteri; Cichliformes; Cichlidae
Exons: 3
Source: RefSeq, a predicted model, not a curated record
CUGGGACAGAGGCGGCCUUCCUGAUGAGCUUAUCCAACUGAAAGGCUGUUGUUCCAACAGACAACAUGGCCGACGCCACCUUCAGAAGCACCUCUUGCACUCCAAAGAUCUCUGUCUCCUCAGCAGGUUGAGUCUGCUCUCAGCCUUCCUGUAAAGACCAUCAGUGAACACCCAGGUACUUAUACUUCAGUGUGUGUGACCUGAAGGUCCAGCUGCUGGAUCACAGCAUGAGAGAAGCUCACUCAGAGAUGGAGAGAGGGGGAAGAAAGAGCACAGGGAGGAAGAAGAAAGUUGGAUUUAAACAUAAGGACCGUGCUGACUUUGAACUGAAAUCAGCCAGUGAGAGUGAAACAAUCAUUGUGUGGACGCCCCGGAGCGUCGGCAGCUCUCCGUCGGGGACUUCCUGCUUUCACGCUGAGUAUGAGCUGAUGCAGAGCAUCGUUUCCAGGUUCAGCAGCUAAAGUAAAGAGUGGUGAUAUAAAAGGAGUGCAGUGCUUUUCUUUCUUAUCUGACACCAAAGAGUUCAGAUGAACUGAAUAAAAACAGCAGGGGGUCACAUGUUUCACCGACAGGGUGAGCCUUUUCACGCUGCUUUUGAUGUGAGACAUCAGUGCGGCUCACUGUAACACACUCUGUAUCCCGAUGAACUCUGUGAGUCAGGCGUUCAGCAGAAACGAGGCGGCGAGCUGCUGCAGCGUUCAGCCUGCUUCACCAACAUCAUCAAAGGAGUUUUACCCGAGCUGAUGAUGGCUGCUUCGACCAGAGAGCUCCUUCGAAGAGGUGAAAUGAUGAAGAUGAAGAGAGCUGCUUCGCUACAUGUCUGACAAAUAUAUAUACAGAUGCAUUUCUUUAUGAUCUCUGCCUUUAUUAAGAAACUCUAUCAGAAUCAUGUUUCUGUCUGUAAGAGCAUCACGUAAGCCCAGGUGUGUGUGUGUGUGUCUGUGUGUGUGUGUGUGUGUGUGUGUGUGUGUGUG